This 468-nucleotide ribosomal RNA is filed under the name uncultured bacterium. RNAcentral describes it as "partial 16S ribosomal RNA". It matches the Rfam family "Bacterial small subunit ribosomal RNA", at positions 28 to 507 of the family's 1533-position model. The record is from RNAcentral.
GACGAACGCUGGCGGCGUGCUUAACACAUGCAAGUCGAACGGAAAGGCCCUGCUUUUGUGGGGUGCUCGAGUGGCGAACGGGUGAGUAACACGUGAGUAACCUGCCCUUGACUUUGGGAUAACUUCAGGAAACUGGGGCUAAUACCGGAUAGGAGCUCCUGCUGCAUGGUGGGGGUUGGAAAGUUUCGGCGGUUGGGGAUGGACUCGCGGCUUAUCAGCUUGUUGGUGGGGUAGUGGCUUACCAAGGCUUUGACGGGUAGCCGGCCUGAGAGGGUGCCCGGCCACAUUGGGACUGAGAGACGGCCCAGACUGCUACGUGAGGCAGCAGGGGGGAAUAUUGCACAGUGGGCGGAAGCCUGAUGCAGCAACGCCGCGUGCGGGAUGACGGCCUUCGGGUUGUAAACCGCUUUCGCCUGUGACGAAGCGUUGGUGACGGUAAUGGGUAAAGAAGCACCGGCUAACUACGUG